UUUAACUGAGCGUUCAGUUACUUGACGUAGACCCGAAACCGGGCGACCUACCCAUGAGCAGGAUGAAGCGAAAGUAAAAUUUCGUGGAGGUCCGAACCCACGAGCGUUGAAAAGCUCGGGGAUGACUUGUGGGUAGCGGUGAAAUUCCAAUCGAGCCCGGAGAUAGCUGGUUCUCCCCGAAAUAGCUUUAGGGCUAGCCUCAAGGUGAGAGAUACGGAGGUAGAGCACUGAAUGUCCUAGGGGGUAUUGCACCUACCGAAGACUAUCAAACUCCGAAUGCCGUCAUCUUAUACUUGGGAGUCAGACUGUGGGUGAUAAGAUUCAUAGUCGAAAGGGCAACAGCCCAGAUCGUCAGCUAAGGUCCCUAAAUGUAAGUUAAGUGGUAAAGGAUGUGGGAUUGCACAGACAACCAGGAUGUUGGCUUAGAAGCAGCCACUCAUUCAAAGAGUGCGUAAUAGCUCACUGGUCGAGUGAUCCUGCGCCGAAGAUUUCCGGGGCUAAAACUUACUACCGAAGCUACGGCAUCAGUAAUGAUGGGUAGGGGAGCUUCCCAUACGGGUUGAAGCAUGACCGUAAGGACAUGUGGACAGUAUGGGAGUGAGAAUGUUGGCAUGAGUAGCGAGAUGUGGGUGAGAAUCCCACAGGCCGUAAACCCAAGGUUUCCAGGGGAAGGUUCGUCCGCCCUGGGUUAGUCGGGACCUAAGCUGAGGCCGAAAGGCGUAGGUGAUGGACAACAGGUUGAUAUUCCUGUACUACCGAUAACCGUUUGAGAGAAGGGAUGACACAGUAGGAUAAGCUAAGCACACUGUUGGUUAUGUGUGCCCAAGCAUUGAGGCAGUCAAAGUAGGCAAAUCCGCUUUGAUAAUGCUGGGAUGUGAUGGGGAGCGAAAUUUAGUAGCGAAGUAGCUGAUUUCACACUGUCAAGAAAAGUCUCUAUCGAGGUUAAAGGUACCCGUACCGCAAACCGACACAGGUGGGUGAGGAGAGUAUCCUAAGGCCAGCGAGAGAACUGUUGUUAAGGAACUCGGCAAAAUGACCCCGUAACUUAGGGAUAAGGGGUGCCACC
This 1066-nucleotide ribosomal RNA is filed under the name Clostridioides difficile. Its description in RNAcentral is "partial 23S ribosomal RNA". It matches the Rfam family "Bacterial large subunit ribosomal RNA", at positions 683 to 1755 of the family's 2925-position model. The record is from RNAcentral. Lineage: Bacteria; Bacillati; Bacillota; Clostridia; Peptostreptococcales; Peptostreptococcaceae.